Molecule: ribosomal RNA, 253 nt
Filed under: uncultured bacterium
Lineage: Bacteria
Description: partial 16S ribosomal RNA
Rfam family: Bacterial small subunit ribosomal RNA
Source: RNAcentral
UACGUAGGGUGCAAGCGUUGUCCGGAAUUAUUGGGCGUAAAGAGCUCGUAGGCGGUUUGUUGCGUCGGCUGUGAAAUCCCGAGGCUCAACCUGGGAAUGGCCGUUGAAACUGGCGAACUGGAGUGUGGCAGAGGGGGGUGGAAUUCCGCGUGUAGCAGUGAAAUGCGUAGAGAUGCGGAGGAACACCGAUGGCGAAGGCAGCCCCCUGGGCUGACACUGACGCUCAGGCACGAAAGCGUGGGGAGCAAACAGG